RNAcentral lists this ribosomal RNA (273 nucleotides) under Streptococcus infantarius subsp. infantarius. RNAcentral's name for it is "partial 16S ribosomal RNA". It matches the Rfam family "Bacterial small subunit ribosomal RNA", at positions 143 to 411 of the family's 1533-position model. Lineage: Bacteria; Bacillati; Bacillota; Bacilli; Lactobacillales; Streptococcaceae. The record is from RNAcentral.
AUAACUAUUGGAAACGAUAGCUAAUACCGCAUAACAGCAUUUAACCCAUGUUAGAUGCUUGAAAGGAGCAAUUGCUUCACUAGUAGAUGGACCUGCGUUGUAUUAGCUAGUUGGUGAGGUAACGGCUCACCAAGGCGANGAUACAUAGCCGACCUGAGAGGGUGAUCGGCCACACUGGGACUGAGACACGGCCCAGACUCCUACGGGAGGCAGCAGUAGGGAAUCUUCGGCAAUGGGGGCAACCCUGACCGAGCAACGCCGCGUGAGUGAAGA